CAGUCAUGUCUGCCAGGACUCAGCCUUGCUUCUGCUUGGUGUACUUUCUGGUUUGAUGGGCCAACAUCAAUUUUGACCGUUGGAGAAAGGCUUUGGGAAUGUGGCACCUUAGGGUGUGUUAUAGCCCUUUGUUGUAUACGACGGUUGGGAUUGAGGACUGCAGCACGCCUUUAUGGCCGGGGUUCGCCCACGUACGUGCUUAGGAUGUUGGCAUAAUGGCUUUAAGCGACCCGUCUUGGAACACGGACCAAGGAGUCUAACAUGUGUGCG
This 270-nucleotide ribosomal RNA is filed under the name Glomus sp. (unid). The record is from RNAcentral. Lineage: Eukaryota; Fungi; Glomeromycota; Glomeromycetes; Glomerales; Glomeraceae.